Molecule: ribosomal RNA, 564 nt
Filed under: uncultured Glomeromycotina
Lineage: Eukaryota; Fungi; Glomeromycota
Description: SSU rRNA
Rfam family: Eukaryotic small subunit ribosomal RNA
Source: RNAcentral
UUGGAGGGCAAGUCUGGUGCCAGCAGCCGCGGUAAUUCCAGCUCCAAUAGCGUAUAUUAAAGUUGUUGCAGUUAAAGAGCUCGUAGUUGAAUUUCGGGAUCAAAUUGUUGGUCGUGCCUCGGUACGCACUGGUAUUAUUGGUUCCUACCUUCUGAAGAACCGCGAUGUCAUUAAUUUGGUGUCGUGGGGAAUCAGGACUGUUACUUUGAAAAAAUUAGAGUGUUUAAAGCAGGCUUACGCUUGAAUACAUUAGCAUGGAAUAAUGAAAUAGGACGUUUGAUUCUAUUUUGUUGGUUUCUAGGAUUGACGUAAUGAUUAAUAGGGAUAGUUGGGGGCAUUAGUAUUCAAUUGUCAGAGGUGAAAUUCUUGGAUUUAUUGAAGACUAACUACUGCGAAAGCAUUUGCCAAGGAUGUUUUCAUUAAUCAAGAACGAAAGUUAGGGGAUCGAAGACGAUCAGAUACCGUCGUAGUCUUAACCAUAAACUAUGCCGACUAGGGAUCGGAUGAUGUUAAUUUUUUAAUGACUCAUUCGGCGCCUUACGGGAAACCAAAGUGUUUGGGUUC